AUUGAACGCUGGCGGCAGGCCUAACACAUGCAAGUCGAGCGGAUGAAGGGAGCUUGCUCCUGGAUUCAGCGGCGGACGGGUGAGUAAUGCCUAGGAAUCUGCCUGGUAGUGGGGGAUAACGUCCGGAAACGGGCGCUAAUACCGCAUACGUCCUGAGGGAGAAAGUGGGGGAUCUUCGGACCUCACGCUAUCAGAUGAGCCUAGGUCGGAUUAGCUAGUUGGUGGGGUAAAGGCCUACCAAGGCGACGAUCCGUAACUGGUCUGAGAGGAUGAUCAGUCAAAAGGGAAAGGGAAAACGGGCCAGAUCCCAAGGGGAGGCAGAGGGGGGGAAAUUGGGAAAAGGGGGGAAAGCCUGACCCAGCCAGGCGGGGGGGGUGAAGAAGGGCUUCGGUUGGAAAAGCACUUUAAGGGGGGAGGAAGGGAAGGAAGUUAAAACCUUGCUGUUUGGACGUUACAAACAAAAAAAACACCGGCAAAAUUGGU
This 483-nucleotide ribosomal RNA is filed under the name uncultured bacterium. RNAcentral describes it as "partial 16S ribosomal RNA". It matches the Rfam family "Bacterial small subunit ribosomal RNA", at positions 29 to 506 of the family's 1533-position model. The record is from RNAcentral.